UGGGUAUUAGCCAAGUGGUAAGGCAAUGGUUUCUGAUACCAUUAUGCGCUGGUUCGAACCCAGCAUACCCAG
This 72-nucleotide transfer RNA is filed under the name Lactobacillaceae bacterium. Its description in RNAcentral is "tRNA-Gln". It matches the Rfam family "tRNA". From Rfam's summary of the family: Transfer RNA (tRNA) molecules are approximately 80 nucleotides in length. Their secondary structure includes four short double-helical elements and three loops (D, anti-codon, and T loops). The record is from RNAcentral. Lineage: Bacteria; Bacillati; Bacillota; Bacilli; Lactobacillales; Lactobacillaceae.